GAGGAGCGCAUAUCCAAUGAUCCGGAGAUAUCUGAAUGGAGAAACCCGGCAGAGGAAACCUCUGUCAGCGUGCAGUGAAUACAUAGCGGUACGUGGGGAACCCGGGGAACUGAAACAUCUAAGUACCCGGCGGAAGAGAAAGAAAAUUUAUCGAUUUCCAAAGUAGCGGCGAGCGAAAUGGAAAGAGCCCAUACCGUGAUGCAUGCAUCCCGGAGUUCUGACUACGUUGUGCCCGACGUAAGAUAGUAUAACGGACUGGGAAGUCCGGCCGGAGGACGUGAGCGCAUCGUAUCCUAAAU
RNAcentral lists this ribosomal RNA (299 nucleotides) under Anaerostipes hadrus. RNAcentral's name for it is "partial 23S ribosomal RNA". It matches the Rfam family "Bacterial large subunit ribosomal RNA", at positions 83 to 385 of the family's 2925-position model. The record is from RNAcentral. Lineage: Bacteria; Bacillati; Bacillota; Clostridia; Lachnospirales; Lachnospiraceae.